Oryza sativa Japonica Group (Japanese rice) is the source of this 1767-nucleotide long non-coding RNA. RefSeq lists it as uncharacterized. NCBI's taxonomy places the organism in Eukaryota, Viridiplantae, Streptophyta, Magnoliopsida, Poales, Poaceae. The record is from RefSeq and is a predicted model, not a curated record.
UCCACUUUGUUUUCACCCCUGGGCGAAACCUCCUGUUGACCCAUCAGAAAACUUCUUUUGUAUCAAGGUCCUUCCACAUCUAGUCUUACUAUUUUUCAUUUGAUCCCCUACAACCCUCCUGUGCGACAACGCAUCUUGCGUCCUCCUCCCUCGUCGGUACGCUGCCUCCACUGCCGAGAGAUCGAGACGGCGCUCGCCGGCUCACGUCUUCCCCAACCCCACCGCCGUCGUGCCCCCACAUCCCCUCUGUCCACAAAUCCCACACCUCCCCGCACGGCGUCGUGUUCCUCCUCCUCCCAAUCUCCACCGCCUCUAAUCGGGGGUUCGUGGCCGUCCAAAUCCGGGCGUCGCACCAACGAGGACAGAUGGAUGGGGACUCACCAGCCAUGAAGUAGAAGAGGCCUGCGGUGGAGAGAGGCAACAACCCGCUGCGCUCUCCCCAAUCUAGUCCCCUGGAGGGCAUGUGCGUUGAGCCGGCGAGGAGCGGGCUGCGGCGGCGGGAGACGCGCGCGGAGGAGGAGAUUGGGAGGGCGGCGGGCCGCGGGAGACGGCGCGGCCGGCGGCCUGCUCAGCGAUUUUUUUUUUUUAGAAUUUGUGAUUGAAGAUCUGAGAUGUGUUUUAUUUGUGUGUGAUGUAUUCAUGUGAUGUAUUUGUGAUGAUUUUUUACAACUUGUGAUGUAAGUUUAUAGAAUUUGUGAUGUAUUUGGAGAUGAUCGAUUUGAGGAUUUGGAUGUAUCUUUUGUUAUGUGAUCUGUUGGAUUUGUGAUCUGUGAUGAUUUAUUUGGGAUGAUUUGGGGAUGGAGUGAAAUCAAUAUUCAAUGUUAAAAACAAUAAAAAAAAGUAACAAUUGGUCAUGGCCUGGCUACAUCUUUAGUUCCGGUUGGUGUCACGCCCUGAAGUUUUCCCCUUCUUUCUUGCUUUAAAAUUUGUUGAAUAAAUCCUUCGAAGAAAUUGUUUAAAUUAACCUAGAGCAAAUUCCUUAAUUAAUAAAUACAAUCAAUAAUUGGAAAUGGCAUUGUGGGAUUUUUCUUGGGUUCCACAUGUCACAAUGUCACAAUACAUUAACAGGAUAUUUAGUGAAAUUUUCAGAGCCCCAUAAAUAUUUUUAAACAAAUUAAAAUCCAUAAACCGCAAUAUUUAAAUGUCGUAGGCUCUCCGAACCUUCUGAGGGAUGAAAUAAAUAGUUCAAGUCAUUAAACAAACAAAAUGAAACAUCCGACGUCUCGAGAGAAGAAUAUUGGAGACAUUGUUGGGCCUUUGACCUUCCAAUAAACUUCAGCCUGACAUGUGCUCGUCAAACCACUCGAAGGAUGUGUUACACAUUCAGGAGACUUGACAAAAAUAACUAAACAUCCGACGCCUCGAGAGAAGAAUAUUGGAGACAUUGUUUGGCCUUUGACCUGCCAAUAAACUUCAGCCUGAGAUGUGCUCGUCAAACCACUCGAAGGAUGUGUUACACAUUCAGGAGACUUGAUAAAAAUAACUAAAGAUCUACAACAUCUAAAAUAUUCUUAACUCAUACUCAUCUAAAUCUAUGUGCACUAGAUUCACACUUUCAUCUUAAGCAUGAAAAUACAUAGCAAAAUACACUUAAGAUGAAAUGAUCUAAAUCACAACUACUUCAUAAUUACAUAGGCCGACAGGCUGAAUAUAGAUAUUAGAACAACAGAAGCUUGACUACCCAAUCCUCAAGCACACCGACUAAGGGUUUACCCUCAUUAAGUUCAAGUCCUAGAAAAAGCAGUCGAUUACCCUCAUCACUCAAAA